Molecule: non-coding RNA, 202 nt
Organism: Oryza nivara
Lineage: Eukaryota; Viridiplantae; Streptophyta; Magnoliopsida; Poales; Poaceae
Source: Rfam
AAAAAAAAAAACCCUGAUAUUCACAUCCAACUUUUGAUGUCCGUCUUAUUUGAAAAAAUUAUAAAAAAAUUAAAAAAAUAAGUCAUGUAUAAAAUAUUAAUCAUGUUUUAUUAUCUAACAACAAUAAAAAUACUAAUUAUAAAAAAUUUUAUAUAAGACGAACAGUCAAACGUUGGCACGAGAACCUACGUUUUGCCUUUGU